This is a ribosomal RNA of Erinaceus europaeus (western European hedgehog), 120 nucleotides long. The record is from Ensembl. NCBI's taxonomy places the organism in Eukaryota, Metazoa, Chordata, Mammalia, Eulipotyphla, Erinaceidae.
GUCUAUGGCCAUACCACCCUGAACAUGCCCAGUCUCGCCUGAUCUCAGAAGCUAAGCAGGGUCAGGCCUGCUUAGUACUUGGAUGGGAGAAAUAGUAAUAUUUUCUUGUUGCCUUAACUU